Alnus glutinosa is the source of this 769-nucleotide long non-coding RNA. RefSeq lists it as uncharacterized. The record is from RefSeq and is a predicted model, not a curated record. The transcript has 3 exons. NCBI's taxonomy places the organism in Eukaryota, Viridiplantae, Streptophyta, Magnoliopsida, Fagales, Betulaceae.
CGCCCUCACCCUUUCCUUUCUUUCUUUUCUCUCUUCUUUCCUUUCUUCCUCUUCUCUCCUUCUCCUCUCUAUUCUCUCGCACGCACCAGCCCCCACCCCUUCACUCCAUCACACACACACUUGAGUGUGGAACUGAAGGACAGAACGAAAUCAUGUGGGCAGAGAGACUGAGAUCGUGAGAGAUGCGGAGACUAGACCGUGAGGGAGCCGAUUUCUAGUGUAGUUAAAGGAUAUUUUGACUAGCCGGAAGUCAGCUUUUUGGUGGGCCUUCGAUGGGUCGACAAUGGUAGAACCAAAGGAGAACUUCUAAUGGGUGAAUUGAAGUGAUUUCCAGUGAUUUUCAUUGGAUUUCCAAUAGUUUUGAGAAACUUUGAAGAAGGAUCGUGUCCGGAUUGGAGGCUUUAUUUGGUUCUCUAAUGUAGAGUCCAAGUGACUAGCAUCCAAGGGAAUGUUCAAGUCAAGAGUCCAAUGCAGCCAAGAUGGCGGGCUCAUAAUUCCACCUAUGCGGUAUACUAUUAUGCAACCCCCGCAAUCGUGCCAACUCUAAUGUUGUGACCGAAGCUCGCCGUGAUGAUCAUAAUUGCUGGACCACGGGUAUCCACUAUUUUAUAGGUUUUAUUUAUGGUUUGUGUCGCUUGUGUCAGUUGUUAUUGUAUAAGUCAUUUCUGUUAUGUAAUUAAUAUGUGUCUGAUUUGAGGAAACACUUAAACAGAUAGAUGUGAUAUGGCUCUUUGGUUAUGAUUAGAUCGUAGUAGAGUUUAUAUUGUGA